Molecule: ribosomal RNA, 771 nt
Filed under: uncultured bacterium
Lineage: Bacteria
Description: bacterial SSU rRNA
Rfam family: Bacterial small subunit ribosomal RNA
Source: RNAcentral
ACACAUGCAGUCGACGGUAACAGGUCUUCGGAUGCUGACGAGUGGCGGACGGGUGAGUAAUGCGUAGGAAUCUGUCUUUGAGUGGGGGACAACCCAGGGAAACUUGGGCUAAUACCGCAUAAGCCCUGAGGGGGAAAGCGGGGGAUCUUCGGACCUCGCGCUGGAAGAGGAGCCUACGUCUGAUUAGCUAGUUGGUAGGGUAAAGGCCUACCAAGGCGACGAUCGGUAGCUGGUCUGAGAGGACGACCAGCCACACUGGGACUGAGACACGGCCCAGACUCCUACGGGAGGCAGCAGUGUGGAAUUUUUCGCAAUGGGGGCAACCCUGACGAAGCAAUGCCGCGUGAAUGAAGAAGGCCUUCGGGUUGUAAAGUUCUUUCGUGGAGGACGAAAAGGUGGGUGCUAAUAUCGCCUGCUGUUGACGUGAAUCCAAGAAGAAGCACCGGCUAACUCCGUGCCAGCAGCCGCGGUAAUACGGGGGGUGCAAGCGUUAAUCGGAAUCACUGGGCGUAAAGGGUGCGUAGGCGGUGCAUUAGGUCUGUCGUGAAAUCCCCGGGCUCAACCUGGGAAUGGUGGUGGAAACCGGUGUACUAGAGUAUGGGAGAGGGUGGUGGAAUUCCAGGUGUAGCGGUGAAAUGCGUAGAGAUCUGGAGGAACAUCAGUGGUGAAGGCGGGCCAUCUGGCCCAAUACUGACGCUGAGGCACGAAAAGCGUGGGGAGCUAACAGGAUUAGAUACCCUGGUAGUCCACGCCCUUAAGAUUGAAAUCUAA